This 108-nucleotide small RNA is filed under the name Drosophila willistoni. RNAcentral's name for it is "GK27092". Lineage: Eukaryota; Metazoa; Arthropoda; Insecta; Diptera; Drosophilidae. The record is from RNAcentral.
GUUGAUUAAAAAUUAAAUGAAUUUAUUCAGCGUGCAAAAGUGAAGCCCAAUAAUGAUUCCGUGAUGCAGAUCUACAUUCAUCUAGCAGAGCGAAGCGUAGAGGGACAC